CGGUGUGCCUAAUACAUGCAAGUCGUACGCACUGGCCCAACUGAUUGAUGGUGCUUGCACCGGAUUGACGAUGGAUCACCAGUGAGUGGCGGACGGGUGAGUAACACGUAGGUAACCUGCCCCGGAGCGGGGGAUAACAUUUGGAAACAGAUGCUAAUACCGCAUAACAACAAAAGCCACAUGGCUUUCGUUUGAAAGAUGGCUUUGGCUAUCACUCUGGGAUGGACCUGCGGUGCAUUAGCUAGUUGGUAAGGUAACGGCUUACCAAGGCGAUGAUGCAUAGCCGAGUUGAGAGACUGAUCGGCCACAAUGGAACUGAGACACGGUCCAUACUCCUACGGGAGGCAGCAGUAGGGAAUCUUCCACAAUGGGCGCAAGCCUGAUGGAGCAACACCGCGUGAGUGAAGAAGGGUUUCGGCUCGUAAAACUCUGUUGUUGGAGAAGAACGUGCGUGAGAGUAACUGUUCACGCAGUGACGGUAUCCAACCAGAAAGUCACGGCUAACUACGUGCCAGCAGCCGCGGUAAUACGUAGGUGGCAAGCGUUAUCCGGAUUUAUUGGGCGUAAAGCGAGCGCAGGCGGUUGCUUAGGUCUGAUGUGAAAGCCUUCGGCUUAACCGAAGAAGUGCAUCGGAAACCGGGCGACUUGAGUGCAGAAGAGGACAGUGGAACUCCAUGUGUAGCGGUGGAAUGCGUAGAUAUAUGGAAGAACACCAGUGGCGAAGGCGGCUGUCUGGUCUGCAACUGACGCUGAGGCUCGAAAGCAUGGGUAGCGAACAGAAUUAGAUAUCCUGGUAGUCCAUGCCGUAAACGAUGACUAAUAGGUGUUGGAGGGUUUCCGCCCUUCAGUGCCGGAGCUAACGCAUUAAGCACUCCGCCUGGGGAGUACGACCGCAAGGUUGAAACUCAAAGGAAUUGACGGGGGCCCGCACAAGCGGUGGAGCAUGUGGUUUAAUUCGAAGCUACGCGAAGAACCUUACCAGGUCUUGACAUCUUGCGCUAACCUUAGAGGUAAGGCGUUCCCUUCGGGGACGCAAUGACAGGUGGUGCAUGGUCGUCGUCAGCUCGUGUCGUGAGAUGUUGGGUUAAGUCCCGCAACGAGCGCAACCCUUGUUACUAGUUGCCAGCAUUAAGUUGGGCACUCUAGUGAGACUACCGGUGACAAACUGGAGGAAGGUGGGGACGACGUCAGAUCAUCAUGCCCCUUAUGACCUGGGCUACACACGUGCUACAAUGGACGGUACAACGAGUCGCAAGCUCGCGAGAGUAAGCUAAUCUCUUAAAGCCGUUCUCAGUUCGGACUGUAGGCUGCAACUCGCCUACACGAAGUCGGAAUCGCUAGUAAUCGCGGAUCAGCAUGCCGCGGUGAAUACGUUCCCGGGCCUUGUACACACCGCCCGUCACACCAUGGGAGUUUGUAACGCCCAAAGUCGGUGGCCUAACCUUUAUGAGGGAGCCGCCUAAGGCGGGACAGAUGACUGGGGUGAA
This 1487-nucleotide ribosomal RNA is filed under the name uncultured bacterium. Its description in RNAcentral is "partial 16S ribosomal RNA". It matches the Rfam family "Bacterial small subunit ribosomal RNA". The record is from RNAcentral.